This 253-nucleotide ribosomal RNA is filed under the name uncultured bacterium. Its description in RNAcentral is "partial 16S ribosomal RNA". It matches the Rfam family "Bacterial small subunit ribosomal RNA", at positions 524 to 776 of the family's 1533-position model. The record is from RNAcentral.
GACGUAGGGCGCGAGCGUUGUCCGGAUUUAUUGGGCGUAAAGAGCUCGUAGGCGGCUUGUCGCGUCGACUGUGAAAACUCGGGGCUCAACUCCGAGCUUGCAGUCGAUACGGGCAGACUAGAGUUCGGUAGGGGAGACUGGAAUUCCUGGUGUAGCGGUGAAAUGCGCAGAUAUCAGGAGGAACACCGGUGGCGAAGGCGGGUCUCUGGGCCGAAACUGACGCUGAGGAGCGAAAGCGUGGGGAGCAAACAGG